GGUUUCUUGGAAGGUCUGGUCUGCCCGGCAAUCUUUUCUCUUCCUGAACUCUCCUUGUGCUCAGAAUGGCUCCCCGACCACUUACAAAGUGGGUCCUGUGCGAACCAUUUUAUGUUCAUUGUCCUUUCUAGGGACUUGGCUCCAUGGAGUUCUUCAAAAGAGGAAUUAAAGACUCAGGGACCGUGCCAUUCGCUGUGCUUCUCAAAUCAUCAUCAGCUGCUUUUGAGGAUGAACAACAGAGCCCCAGGAGCUGCUCCCAUAAAUGACUUCCAAUACAUUGCGGAGAGAGACUAUUAUUCAGAUGCCUGCUAUUACACGGCCUGCACUCGGCCGUUCCACACCGCGCCUCUCCUGACUCGCUUUCAGAGAUCCACUGUCGUCAGCAAAGGGAGAGUGGGCCUGGAGCUUCCGGGAAAGUGCUCUGAGUUGGUGAAAGCUCCCGGAAUGGCAGGCAUUCACAGUUGCAAGUUGCCACCUGGAACCAAUCCACUGAAAGAACCUACAGAAUGGGAGGCACCUGACUCGCUCCCUGGGUCAAUUCCAGGCAGUUUUGCUUCAAGAUUGGAUUUGAUCUUGCAACUCGGCCACAGGAUAAAGUGA
This 600-nucleotide long non-coding RNA is filed under the name Ornithorhynchus anatinus (platypus). RNAcentral describes it as "lncRNA (ENSOANG00000047934.1)". The record is from RNAcentral. Lineage: Eukaryota; Metazoa; Chordata; Mammalia; Monotremata; Ornithorhynchidae.